GGCCUCUUAGCUCAGUUAGGCAGAGCAUUCGGCUUUUAACCGAAGGGUCAGGGGUUCGAGCCCCCUAGAGGCUA
This 74-nucleotide transfer RNA is filed under the name Megaviridae environmental sample. RNAcentral's name for it is "tRNA-Lys". It matches the Rfam family "tRNA". From Rfam's summary of the family: Transfer RNA (tRNA) molecules are approximately 80 nucleotides in length. Their secondary structure includes four short double-helical elements and three loops (D, anti-codon, and T loops). Lineage: Varidnaviria; Bamfordvirae; Nucleocytoviricota; Megaviricetes; Imitervirales; Mimiviridae. The record is from RNAcentral.